RNAcentral lists this long non-coding RNA (259 nucleotides) under Homo sapiens (human). RNAcentral describes it as "non-protein coding lnc-FAM13B-2:1". The record is from RNAcentral. Lineage: Eukaryota; Metazoa; Chordata; Mammalia; Primates; Hominidae.
GCAAUUCUACUUCUGGGUAUAUAACCAAAGGAACUGAAAGGAGGGUCUUGAAGAGAUAUUUAUACAUCCAUGUUCACAGCACUGUUAUUCACAAUAGCUAAAAUGUGGAACCAACCCAAGUGUGUAUUGGCAGAUGAAUGAAUAGGCAAAAUGUGGAAUAUACAUAUAAUGGAAUAUUAUUCAGCCUUUCUAAGGAAGGAAAUUCCGACUACAUGCUACAACAUGGAUGAAACUUAAGGGCAUUUGUGCUAAGUGAAGU